GACGAACGCUGGCGGCGUGCUUAACAUAUGCAAGUCGAACGGGCCUUGUCCCCUUUUUUUUUGGGGGUGGGGCUAGUGGCGAACGGGUGAGUAACACGUGAGUAACCUGCCCCUCACUUCUGGAUAACCGCUUGAAAGGGUGGCUAAUACGGGGUGUUCUGGCCUGCUCGCAUGGGUGGGUUUGGAGAGAUUCGACCGGCUUGGUUGUUUUGGUGGGGGAUGGGCUCGCGGCCUAUCAGGUUGUGGGUGGGGUGAUGGCCUGCCAAGGCUUUGACGGGUAGCCGGCCUGAGAGGGUUGGCGGUCACACGGGGACUGAGACACGGCCCAGACUUCUACGAGAGGCAGGAGGGGAGAAUAGUGCACAAGGGGCGCAAGCCGGAUGCAGCGACGCCGCGUGAGGGAUGGAGGCCUUCGGGUUGUGAACCUCUUUCGCCAGUGAAGAAGGUCCUGCUCUUUGUGGUGGGGUUGACGGUAGCUGGGUCAAUGAAGCGCCGGCUAACUACGUG
Molecule: ribosomal RNA, 507 nt
Filed under: uncultured bacterium
Lineage: Bacteria
Description: partial 16S ribosomal RNA
Rfam family: Bacterial small subunit ribosomal RNA
Source: RNAcentral